Molecule: ribosomal RNA, 533 nt
Filed under: Nocardia otitidiscaviarum
Lineage: Bacteria; Bacillati; Actinomycetota; Actinomycetes; Mycobacteriales; Nocardiaceae
Description: bacterial SSU rRNA
Rfam family: Bacterial small subunit ribosomal RNA
Source: RNAcentral
GUGGGUGAUCUGCCUCGCACUCUGGGAUAAGCCUGGGAAACUGGGUCUAAUACCGGAUAUGACCGCGAAUCGCAUGGUUUGUGGUGGAAAGGUUUACUGGUGCGAGAUGGGCCCGCGGCCUAUCAGCUUGUUGGUGGGGUAACGGCCUACCAAGGCGACGACGGGUAGCCGGCCUGAGAGGGCGACCGGCCACACUGGGACUGAGACACGGCCCAGACUCCUACGGGAGGCAGCAGUGGGGAAUAUUGCACAAUGGGCGAAAGCCUGAUGCAGCGACGCCGCGUGAGGGAUGACGGCCUUCGGGUUGUAAACCUCUUUCGACAGGGACGAAGCGCAAGUGACGGUACCUGUAGAAGAAGCACCGGCCAACUACGUGCCAGCAGCCGCGGUAAUACGUAGGGUGCGAGCGUUGUCCGGAAUUACUGGGCGUAAAGAGCUUGUAGGCGGUCUGUCGCGUCGAUCGUGAAAACGUGCAGCUCAACUGCGCGCCUGCGGUCGAUACGGGCAGACUAGAGUACUUCAGGGGAGACUGG